ACUGCUCAGUAACACGUGGCUAACCUGCCCUUGGGACGAGAUCACCCCCGGGAAACUGGGGCUAAUCCUCGAUAGGUGAAGAACUCUGGAAUGAGUCUUCGCCCAAACACCAUUUGGAUCAUGCUCCCAGGUGGCGCCCAAGGAUGGGGCCGCGACCGAUCAGGUUGUUGGUGAGGUAAUGGCCCACCAAGCCUAUAACCGGUGCGGGCCGUGAGAGCGGGAGCCCGGAGAUGGGCACUGAGACAAGGGCCCAGGUCCUACGGGGCGCAGCAGUCGCGAAAACUUUGCAAUACACGAAAGUGUGACAGGGUUAUCCCGAGUGCCGACCGCUGAGGUUGGCUUUUACCCAGUCUAGAAAGCUGGGGGAAUAAGGAGAGGGCAAGUCUGGUGUCAGCCGCCGCGGUAAUACCAGCUCUCCGAGUGGUGUGGACGUUUAUUGGGCCUAAAGCAUCCGUAGCUGGCCGAACAAGUCCCCUGUUAAACCCACCGAUUUAAUCGUUGGCUUGCGGGGGAUACCGUCCGGCUAGGGGACGAGAGAGGCAGACGGUAUUCCCGGGGUAGGGGUGAAAUCCUAUAAUCCCGAGAAGACCACCAGUGGCGAAGGCUGUCUGCUAGAGCGCGCCCGACGGUGAGGGAUGAAAGCUGGGGGAGCGAACCGGAUUAGAUACCCGGGUAGUCCCAGCUGUAAACGAUGCAGACUAGGUGUUUGGACGGCCACGUGCCGUUCUAGUGCCGCAGGGAAGCUGUUAAGUCUGCCGCCUGGGGAGUACGAUCGCAAGAUUGAAACUUAAAGGAAUUGGCGGGGGAGCAC
This 811-nucleotide ribosomal RNA is filed under the name uncultured archaeon. RNAcentral describes it as "bacterial SSU rRNA". It matches the Rfam family "Archaeal small subunit ribosomal RNA", at positions 85 to 879 of the family's 1478-position model. The record is from RNAcentral.